Molecule: ribosomal RNA, 459 nt
Filed under: uncultured bacterium
Lineage: Bacteria
Description: partial 16S ribosomal RNA
Rfam family: Bacterial small subunit ribosomal RNA
Source: RNAcentral
CCUACGGGUGGCAGCAGUGAGGAAUAUUGGUCAAUGGCCGGGAGGCUGAACCAGCCAAGUCGCGUGAGGGAAGACGGCCCUACGGGUUGUAAACCUCUUUUGUCAGGGAGCAAGGUGCAGGUCGGGACCUGCUGUGAGAGUACCUGAAGAAAAAGCAUCGGCUAACUCCGUGCCAGCAGCCGCGGUAAUACGGAGGAUGCGAGCGUUAUCCGGAUUUAUUGGGUUUAAAGGGUGCGCAGGCGGAGGCACAAGUCAGCGGUAAAAUCGCGGGGCUCAACCCCGCACCGCCGUUGAAACUGUGUCCCUUGAGUGCAGAAGAGGAGAGUGGAACUCCAUGUGUAGCGGUGAAAUGCGUAGAUAUAUGGAAGAACACCAGUGGCGAAAGCGGCUCUCUGGUCUGUAACUGACGCUGAGGUUCGAAAGCGUGGGUAGCAAACAGGAUUAGAUACCCUUGUAGUC